ACAACCCUGCUUGAAAAUAGAACCGGGGAAAUGUUUGAAGCUGAAAAUGACAGGUUAUGAUGAAUGUUUAACUGAAGCAGGAACACUGCGUGUGCACCCACGAUAAACCGCGUCAGUUUAAGCUGCAACAAAAAACUUUCCAGGACUUCCGGCUUGCCACGUCGGAGAGGCUGGUGCAGAAGCGGAGUUCCUGCAAGGGUCAGCAAUGUUGGCGGAAUGGUGGCAGCAAUUGUUGCUGUAUGUGGCCUUGAGGGAAACGGCCAUCUUUUCAAACAUGAAAGGAACCAACUUGAACAGACAAAUCAGAUUACACUCUGGCUACUUGUUCCUGGAUUUCCCAUGGCACGUCACAUUUUUGGCCAAAGAUAUGAUGUCCCAUUGUGGAGGACCUGAAGAGCCACAUUGACUGACGUUGGGGGAUACUGCUGCGGUGUUCCUCUAUUUGUCACUGUCAGCCUCCAGACUAAGGAUAUGAGAAGGCGGCAGAAAGAAUGGGAGCGAUGUGGGGCGGCAGUUGUGCUACCUCUCUCUCUCUCUAUGUGGAUUUGCAUUGUCUUGGGCCUGGAAAGCAGUGGCACGAACAAGACUCGUCAAGUCUCAUAUCAAUAUGGUGACCCUCCGUCCUUUGCUGCUGUUUCACCACUCCAGCAAACACGGCCAAGCCUGCCAGUUAUCUUCAAGACACUGUUUGGAGAGGCAUCUCUAUCAGAAUAGUGAGGAAACAUCCAAUGCAUAUCAAUUGAAAGACUUUGAUUUUUAUUUGCUCUGCAUUUGCUCUGUCUUGGUAUAGCAAACGGAAAUGACAUAAGGUCCACUGUAUAAACUGUCAAACCACUUGAAUCUUGUUAGACUUUAGAGGGGAAAUUCAGUCUAUAAAUAUGGAUUAUGAAAGGCAUUUUCUUCUUUUUACCUAGAGUACUUCCCAUC
Molecule: long non-coding RNA, 927 nt
Organism: Gambusia affinis (western mosquitofish)
Lineage: Eukaryota; Metazoa; Chordata; Actinopteri; Cyprinodontiformes; Poeciliidae
Exons: 6
Source: RefSeq, a predicted model, not a curated record